RNAcentral lists this small nuclear RNA (24 nucleotides) under Arabidopsis thaliana (thale cress). RNAcentral describes it as "snRNA_01209". Lineage: Eukaryota; Viridiplantae; Streptophyta; Magnoliopsida; Brassicales; Brassicaceae. The record is from RNAcentral.
AAUGUUCACAAACUGCAAGUGUAU